RNAcentral lists this ribosomal RNA (253 nucleotides) under uncultured bacterium. Its description in RNAcentral is "partial 16S ribosomal RNA". It matches the Rfam family "Bacterial small subunit ribosomal RNA", at positions 524 to 776 of the family's 1533-position model. The record is from RNAcentral.
UACGUAGGGUGCGAGCGUUGUCCGGAAUUAUUGGGCGUAAAGAGCUCGUAGGCGGUCUGUCGCGUCUGCUGUGAAAACCCGAGGCUCAACCUCGGGCCUGCAGUGGGUACGGGCAGACUAGAGUGCGGUAGGGGAGAAUGGAAUUCCUGGUGUAGCGGUGGAAUGCGCAGAUAUCAGGAGGAACACCGAUGGCGAAGGCAAUCCCCUGGGCCUUACCUGACGCUGAGGAGCGAAAGCGUGGGGAGCGAACAGG